AACGAACGCUGGCGGCAUGCCUAACACAUGCAAGUCGAACGAGACCUUCGGGUCUAGUGGCGCACGGGUGCGUAACGCGUGGGAACCUGCCCUUAGGUUCGGAAUAACUCCCCGAAAGGGGUGCUAAUACCGGAUAAUGUCUUCGGACCAAAGAUUUAUCGCCUUUGGAUGGGCCCGCGUUGGAUUAGCUAGUUGGUAGGGUAAAAGCCUACCAAGGAGACGAUCCAUAGCUGGUCUGAGAGGAUGCUAAGCCACACUGGGACUGAGACACGGCCCAGACUCCUACGCGAGGCAGCAGUGGGGAAUAUUGGACAAUGGGCGAAAGCCUGAUCCAGCAAUGCCGCGUGAGUGAUGAAGGCCUUAGGGUUGUAAAGCUCUUUUACCCGGGAUGAUAAUGACAGUACCGGGAGAAUAAGCUCCGGCUAACUCCGUG
RNAcentral lists this ribosomal RNA (433 nucleotides) under uncultured bacterium. RNAcentral's name for it is "partial 16S ribosomal RNA". It matches the Rfam family "Bacterial small subunit ribosomal RNA", at positions 29 to 507 of the family's 1533-position model. The record is from RNAcentral.